Molecule: ribosomal RNA, 497 nt
Filed under: uncultured bacterium
Lineage: Bacteria
Description: partial 16S ribosomal RNA
Rfam family: Bacterial small subunit ribosomal RNA
Source: RNAcentral
GAUGAACGCUGGCGGCGUGCCUAAUACAUGCAAGUCGAGCGAACAGACGAGGAGCUUGCUCCUCUGACGUUAGCGGCGGACGGGUGUGUCACGCGUGUAUAACCUACCUAUAUGACGGGGAUAAUUUCGGGACACCGGCGCAUACACCGGAUAAGCUAUUGAACCGCAGGGGUGAAUAGUAAAAGUCGGCUGUGCGGGCUCUACUAGCGGGUUCCGCGCCGCAUUAGCUAGUUGGUAAGGUAACGGGUUACCAAGGCAACGAGGCGUAGCCGACCUGACAGGGUGAUCGGCCGCCCUGGAACUGGGACACGGUCCAGACUCCUACGGGAGGCAGCAGUAGGGAAUCUGCCGCAGUGGGCGAGAGCCUGACGGAGCAACGCCGCGUGAGUGAUGAAGGUCUUCGGAUCGUAAAACUCUGUUAUUAGGGAAGAACAAAUGUGUAAGUAACUAUGCCCGUCUUGACGGUACCUAAUCAGAAAGCCACGGCUAACUACGUG